GAUGAACGCUGGCGGCGUGCCUAAUACAUGCAAGUCGAACGCUGAAGGAGGAGCUUGCUCUUCUGGAUGAGUUGCGAACGGGUGAGUAACGCGUAGGUAACCUGCCUGGUAGCGGGGGAUAACUAUUGGAAACGAUAGCUAAUACCGCAUGACAACAGUUAUUGCAUGAUAACUGUUUAAAAGGGGCAACUGCUCCACUACCAGAUGGACCUGCGUUGUAUUAGCUAGUUGGUGAGGUAACGGCUCACCAAGGCGACGAUACGUAGCCGACCUGAGAGGGUGAUCGGCCACACUGGGACUGAGACACGGCCCAGACUCCUACGGGAGGCAGCAGUAGGGAAUCUUCGGCAAUGGACGGAAGUCUGACCGAGCAACGCCGCGUGAGUGAAGAAGGUUGUCGGAUCGUAAAGCUCUGUUGUAAGAGAAGAACGAGUGUGAGAGUGGAAAGUUCACACUGUGACGGUAGCUUACCAGAAAGGGACGGCUAACUACGUG
This 495-nucleotide ribosomal RNA is filed under the name uncultured bacterium. RNAcentral's name for it is "partial 16S ribosomal RNA". It matches the Rfam family "Bacterial small subunit ribosomal RNA", at positions 28 to 507 of the family's 1533-position model. The record is from RNAcentral.